UAUUGAAACAUUAGAAGAAGGAACAUAAGAAAUAUAAAAACAUUUUGAAUUAUUCAAGAAGCCGCAACAUCGACAUAGCAGAGCGUCCCUUCUGUUGGUUCAUUAGUGCUGACUCGGCACAGCUCACCAGCCGAGAGUCUAAUUAGAUAACAAAUUAACAUCUUGACAUCGCCUGCAGCGCGCUCAUCAACGGAUUCCUUUGCGUUUCGUAUUUGGAAAACGCUUUUGCAAACUGAUCCAAUUCUGUUUGUGCUAUAGCUUUAAUUGCGAGUCUUCGCGAAGGCUGAAUGUUUAAAUAGGUCAACUCAAACAUUCAGUCGUUCGGUUUAACGUCUUUGAUCCUGUAAAUGUCUCUUGUGUGCAUUACAAUGUCAAUUGUUCGGAAACUGAUGUUUUUGUGUCGUUUUCAUGUCUUUAAAUUUAUACGAGAACAAACAAGUAAGAAAAAACCGAAACAGAAAUGAGAUUGAGUAAUGUAAUGUAAUCGUUUUUUCUUUUCUUUUUUAUCUUAAAUCGAAUAUUUUAUAGAUCUAUGUAAUAAAUAAAACAUUAUUAACCAAAAUAUAGCUACUCAUGAUCCUCUGUUAUCUUAAACAAUACAGUGAUAAUAUAAUAUAUUUGAUAUAAAAUUUA
Molecule: long non-coding RNA, 633 nt
Organism: Bombyx mori (domestic silkworm)
Lineage: Eukaryota; Metazoa; Arthropoda; Insecta; Lepidoptera; Bombycidae
Exons: 2
Source: RefSeq, a predicted model, not a curated record